RNAcentral lists this unclassified non-coding RNA (247 nucleotides) under uncultured Ascomycota. RNAcentral's name for it is "sequence contains ITS2". The stretch from base 1 to 52 matches the Rfam family "5.8S ribosomal RNA", at positions 103 to 154 of the family's 154-position model. Lineage: Eukaryota; Fungi; Ascomycota. The record is from RNAcentral.
AACGCACAUUGCGCCCACUGGUAUUCCGGUGGGCAUGCCUGUUCGAGCGUCAUUACGACCCUUACGCCCUGUUGCGUAGUGUUGGGGCUGCACCGUCCGGUGCUCCCCUAAAGUCAGUGGCAGAGCCUACUUGUACUCUAAGCGUAGUAAUUCUUCUCGUUUUUGCAGUCAGGUAGUCCCUCGCUAUCAAACCCCAAACCUUUUUGUGUUUGACCUCGAAUCAGGUAGGAAUACCCGCUGAACUUAA